UACAGAGACCCCAAGCAUUAUCCGGAAUUACUGGGCGUAAAGCGCGAGUAGCCGGUCACGUUAGUCUGAUGUAAAACCAUGGGGCCCAACCCCAUGUCCGCAUUGGAAACGGCGUGACUUGAGCGAAUAAGAGGAGAGCAGAACGUAUGGUGUAGGGGUGAAAUCCACUGAUAUCAUACGGAAUACCAAAAGCGAAGGCAGCUCUCUAGUGUUCUGCUGACGGUCAAUCGCGAAAGCGUGGGGAUCAAAAAGG
This 253-nucleotide ribosomal RNA is filed under the name uncultured bacterium. RNAcentral's name for it is "partial 16S ribosomal RNA". It matches the Rfam family "Bacterial small subunit ribosomal RNA", at positions 524 to 776 of the family's 1533-position model. The record is from RNAcentral.